GACGUAGGGCGCGAGCGUUGUCCGGAUUUAUUGGGCGUAAAGAGCUCGUAGGCGGUUUGUCGCGUCGUCCGUGAAAACUCACAGCUUAACUGUGAGCUUGCGGUCGAUACGGGCAGGCUAGAGUUCGGUAGGGGAGACUGGAAUCCCUGGUGUAGCGGUGAAAUGCGCAGAUAUCAGGAGGAACACCGGUGGCGAAGGCGGUUCUCUGGGCCUUACCUGACGCUGAGGAGCGAAAGCGUGGGGAGCGAACAGG
RNAcentral lists this ribosomal RNA (253 nucleotides) under uncultured bacterium. Its description in RNAcentral is "partial 16S ribosomal RNA". It matches the Rfam family "Bacterial small subunit ribosomal RNA", at positions 524 to 776 of the family's 1533-position model. The record is from RNAcentral.